AAAGUCGUAACAAGGUUUCCGUAGGUGAACCUGCGGAAGGAUCAUUACAAAUUCAAAUAUAAAAAAAAAUUCGGGGGUUAAUCUCUUGUUUUCUUUUUUAUAUUUUUUGAUUUUGUUUUACCGGCUUUACCCGUUGGUAAAACAAGUUAAAAAUCUUUUGUGCACCGUAAAAAGUUCGCGUUUUACAAUAUUGUCAGUCAUUUUUUUCUUUUGGAAAACAAACAAAGUCUUCAAACCGCUUUGUUUGGUCUAUUAAAAUAAAAAAUAACUUUUAACAAUGGAUCUCUUGGCUCUC
RNAcentral lists this unclassified non-coding RNA (295 nucleotides) under Glomeromycotina sp. RNAcentral describes it as "partial contains small subunit ribosomal RNA, internal transcribed spacer 1, and 5.8S ribosomal RNA". The stretch from base 1 to 47 matches the Rfam family "Eukaryotic small subunit ribosomal RNA", at positions 1785 to 1831 of the family's 1831-position model. Lineage: Eukaryota; Fungi; Glomeromycota. The record is from RNAcentral.